CCUACGGGAGGCAGCAGUGGGGAAUAUUGGGCAAUGGAGGAAACUCUGACCCAGCGACGCCGCGUGCGGGAUGAAGGCCUUCGGGUUGUAAACCGCUUUCAGUAGGGAAGAAGCGAAAGUGACGGUACCUACAAAAGAAGCACCGGCUAACUAUGUGCCAGCAGCCGCGGUAAUACAUAGGGUGCAAGCGUUGUCCGGAAUUAUUGGGCGUAAAGAGCUCGUAGGUCGUUUGUUACGUCGGAUGUGAAAACCUGAGGCUCAACCUCAGGCCUGCAUUCGAUACGGGCAAACUAGAGUUUGGUAGGGGAGACUGGAAUUCCUGGUGUAGCGGUGGAAUGCGCAGAUAUCAGGAGGAACACCAAUGGCGAAGGCAGGUCUCUGGGCCAAUACUGACACUGAGGAGCGAAAGUCUGGGGAGCGAACAGGAUUAGAUACCCUGGUAGUCCAGACCGUAAACGGUGGGCACUAGUUGUGGGAACCUUCCACGGUUUCUGCGACGCAGCUACGCAUAGUAGCCCGCCGUCGGGAGGUACGAGCGCGAGAGUAAACGUACGAAAGAAGUAGUAACGGUCGUGAGAGUGCGAACGGACGACGACGAGGGAGGAGG
This 607-nucleotide ribosomal RNA is filed under the name uncultured bacterium. RNAcentral's name for it is "bacterial SSU rRNA". The stretch from base 1 to 521 matches the Rfam family "Bacterial small subunit ribosomal RNA", at positions 338 to 873 of the family's 1533-position model. The record is from RNAcentral.